RNAcentral lists this long non-coding RNA (220 nucleotides) under Carica papaya (papaya). Its description in RNAcentral is "long non-coding RNA (CPAP_LNC014072)". Lineage: Eukaryota; Viridiplantae; Streptophyta; Magnoliopsida; Brassicales; Caricaceae. The record is from RNAcentral.
GGUUUGUGGUCUGGUGUGGGGGUUCUAUUUAUAACCUCUUGCCUUUUGAUCACAGCCGUUCAUUUCGUUUUAAUCUGGGCCGUUCGUUUUUGAUUGAAUCUGGGCCGUCCGUGCGUUUGAAUCUGGGCCGUCCUAUCGCGCGAUUGAUCUGGGCCGUCGGAUCGCACCCACGCGGAUCGCCAACGUGGCUCCUUUCGGAGUGACGCGAUCUUGCCACGUG